AAACUUUAAAACAUUUGAAACCCUAAUAUCCACCACUCACACCCUAGUAAUAUAAUAAUGAGCGAUCUUAGAUUCGGUGUCUAUGGAAGGUAGAACACGUAUGCUUCCUUCCAACAAAGCCUGCUGUUUUGAUUCCACUCGGCAAACAAUUCGUCUGUAGCAGAACUGAUUCGGUAUAACGGAAAUAUUUAUGGCGUGCACAAUGAUGGCGGCGCUCCGAUCCUCCCUUCCCUUUAUAUUUUAUUGAUUCAUCUCAAGGGAAGAUAUGUGAGCGGAGGAAAUAGUCGAUUUCAGAUGUGAGGCCCUAUGGUUGCUUCCUUCACCCAAUUAUGCCGCAAUCAUAUCUAUCUCAAGGUGUAUGCUUCUUCUUUAACAUCUAGACAAGGAUGCCUCGGGAACACCGGUUCUGGUUUAUUGGUUGCUCACUGCUUGUACUCGUUAUCAGUUGGUUAUAUUAACACAGUUCUCUUCAUUCUCAACUUGGACCUCAAUUUAGAAAAUAAUCAGAAACUAGUAAAAUCUGCUGUCUUCCAAUAUCUUAAAAUUUCUUGAAGGCGUCAGUAUGCCUGUCUUGUUCUUCUGGCUGCUACUGAACACCUCCUUUCCUGAGCAUCACAGUGUUUAACUUGUGUUUCUCAAGGUUACAUUGAUUUGCAAGAUCACUGAAUUGGACCUCGAGUUCUCUCAUUGAGGGAGUGUCUCUUACUUCCCAUUCUUUUUAAAGUAAAAGGAUGAAUCGCAGGUUUAAUAUACCCAUUACAAAGAGGAGAUGUGUUGUCCGCGCACUGGGACGGAGAAAUAGGGUUUAUCCAAGAGUUAACCAUGACUCUCCCAGGGACGAUGCCUUCAAUUUGGAGACUGAGUGUGUGUUAGAGACUAUGAGGAAUAUGACUCCAGAAGAAGCUGUAUCCUAUUCAGCUCAAGCAGUUGCAGAGGCAGAAGUAGCAAUGCUUGCAGCUGAAGAAGCUAUGCGGGAGGCUGAGGCUGCCGAAGCUGAAGCUCAGGCAGCCACAGAAGCAUUCGAGAAAAUGAAGGCUGAGGCUAGAAAGCGUAGUAGGAAGAAGACGUCUGGUUGAAGCAAGAGCGCUCCUACACCGGUAUAGGUCUGAGAAGUGAAGGUGCGCCUUGGACUCAAAUAUAAACAGAGCAGUAAAAACUGUGUUUAGUGUUUUUUUGUUUGUACCAUUAUUUCUGAAACUACAUUUCGAAAAUAAAAGUUGGGCACCUUCUUUUUGAUUGAUUGCAGUUUCCAUCUUAUGAUUACUAUAUUGUGCUAGAAUCUAUCAGAAUAAGGAAAAAUUAUAUUGAUGAAAAAUUUCAAAAUAAUAUACCAGAAGAAGGAACAUUAUAUGUGCAAAUCCUUCCUUAAGGCGUCUAGCAAUCACCUCAAAAUUCACACCCAACACAAAAUAAUCUGAACACAAAAAAGAUGAAAAAAAAUAGGACAAAAACAGAUGUCGAUAGAGACUACGAUGAGGUGGAAACGACUGAAGUAGCUUACUCAGCUGCAUCCUCAACAGCAGGCGAUGGAGAGGCUGGUGCAGGCACCGCCUCUUUGGCGGGUGCCUCGCUCUCUAGCUGGCUAAGGUUUCCCUUAGUCUUGAUGAGCUGCAUGUGGUGGUGCUUGCAGAAGAGCACCCCCUCGUGCGCAAUGUAGUUCGACGGGCUAAUCGUGCACCCUCCAUAGCUGCAUUUGAAGCAGCUCUUGUGGUAUGCUGCUCCAUUCACAGAAACCUUCUCAAUGGGAAGUUGCAGGAUCGAUCAGAUUGGGACAGAGGGAGCAAUAAAUAUACCUUCGAAGCUCUUGUUGAGGCUACCAGUCCUCUUGAAGAGCUGGUCGAAAUGUGGCAUGCAAUAGAGGACACCCUCGAAAGAGUUGAAGUUUCCGAGCUUGAGGGUGCCUUUGCAGUGAUGGCAACGGAAGCAGGCCUUGUGAUAAACGCGGUUGUUGGCGGCUAGGCGGUCGACGAGGUAGACCGUCUUCUCGCAAGCAGUGCAUUUCUGAGGUCCGACGUUGGCGGUGGUGGUGGCCAUUUUUGUGUUGUUUUGGGGAGGAAAGAGAACAACAACGCUAAGCUUGCUUUUCCGGAGUUCGUUCUCUUUCCUUGCCUUCCCACCUCCUUAUUCUUCCUCUCUCCCUUUUUUUUUGUGUGAGAUCGCUUUCUUUAUUGAUGAAAAAGCAUUCAUUUGGAGUUAGGUUUAUAUAGGUGAUGAAAUGGGAAGAAUUUGUGUGGGUUGUAGUGAAAUUAGGGUGUUAUGUGAUGCAUGAAAAUCAGAUGCUUUAUUUGAUGCUUUUCCGUAUUUGUCGUGUGUAUACGAAUUUGGACCUUUA
Non-coding RNA from Salvia hispanica, 2332 nucleotides. The record is from RefSeq and is a predicted model, not a curated record. NCBI's taxonomy places the organism in Eukaryota, Viridiplantae, Streptophyta, Magnoliopsida, Lamiales, Lamiaceae.